AUUGAACGCUGGCGGCAUGCCUUACACAUGCAAGUCGAACGGCAGCGCGGACUUCGGUCUGGCGGCGAGUGGCGAACGGGUGAGUAAUGCAUCGGAACGUGCCUUUCAGUGGGGGAUAACGUAGCGAAAGUUACGCUAAUACCGCAUAUUCUGUGAGCAGGAAAGCAGGGGAUCGCAAGACCUUGCGCUGAUGGAGCGGCCGAUGUCAGAUUAGCUAGUUGGUGGGGUAAAGGCCCACCAAGGCGACGAUCUGUAGCUGGUCUGAGAGGACGACCAGCCACACUGGAACUGAGACACGGUCCAGACUCCUACGGGAGGCG
This 320-nucleotide ribosomal RNA is filed under the name uncultured Pseudomonadota bacterium. Its description in RNAcentral is "bacterial SSU rRNA". It matches the Rfam family "Bacterial small subunit ribosomal RNA", at positions 30 to 350 of the family's 1533-position model. The record is from RNAcentral. Lineage: Bacteria; Pseudomonadati; Pseudomonadota.